AGGUCUGUAGCUCAGGUGGUUAGAGCGCUACCCUGAUAAGGUAGAGGUCCCCGGUUCGAGUCCGGGCAGGCCUACCA
Molecule: transfer RNA, 77 nt
Filed under: Deltaproteobacteria bacterium
Lineage: Bacteria; Pseudomonadati; Myxococcota; Myxococcia
Description: tRNA-Ile
Rfam family: tRNA
About the family: Transfer RNA (tRNA) molecules are approximately 80 nucleotides in length.
Source: RNAcentral